Molecule: long non-coding RNA, 960 nt
Organism: Culex pipiens pallens (northern house mosquito)
Lineage: Eukaryota; Metazoa; Arthropoda; Insecta; Diptera; Culicidae
Exons: 3
Source: RefSeq, a predicted model, not a curated record
CUAUGCGACAAAAGUAAACAAACUGAGUUAUUUAUUGCAUUACAUUCUGCAAGCUGGAAACUACACUCACCGCUGACCCAAUUUCUUCAAAGCCUUUUAUUUUUAAAGUUAUUGAUAAAAUACAAAACAACCUAAAAGCAUUCUUAAUAAAUUCUACACCAAAUAAAUAUAGGUCGUUUUACCACACGGAAGUCCUAUGUGCAAUCGAGUGAAACGUGCACAUAGAACCGUAUCAAAUCAACCUAUGGACCAUUAAUAUAUUUUUUUAAAGCUGAUGCACAUACGCUCAUAUCAAAAUGACCUAUGUACAUGUUUAUUGAGUUUAUUUGAAAAUAUGUAUGAGUCGUUUUUUAAUGAAAUUCUAAAACAUAAAUAUUUUACAAUCUUCAUGUUUGUACAAUCCACGCACAACGUGUAGUCAUCAGCUGGGAGAGAGCAUGAAAUGUUUCAAUGCUGUCAAAGCAAAAGAGAGAAGUUCAAUUCAACCUAUCUGCACUCUCUCGAAUUUGACAGAUACGCCACCCAAAAACUUGGGAGCAUAACACCAACAAGGCAGCAUAAAAAAUCAUAACAUUUGUGCAUAUAGGUCGUUUUGUACGGUUUAGUUUUUCUGUUGUAUUUAAAGGCGAUUUUUCAUUGAUGGAGAAGUGUCGAGGUGUGCUCCACCGGUGGUUUUUAAAACGCCUCAUUAUGUCCGGCACGGAACCGUAGCCUAGAACAAGAUACUUAUCCGGAAGUUGCCGUCUCCAGCUGUUGGUCGCGGGUGCUGUACAGGUGCGAAAUUUCACUGCACUCAGCAGUGUUGCUGGCGGAGUUUAGUGACAUCAUUCAUCAGUUUGGACUACGUGUGUUUUGCGUCCGCUGUCAGACCGACUUUCUUUCUCGAUGUUACGCUGAUCGCACCGCUAGUGCACAUUCCGAACGAAAUUUCCGCCUUGCACGGUGGCCGAUUCGGAUCAA